AAAUUGAAGAGUUUGAUCAUGGCUCAGAUUGAACGCUGGCGGCAGGCCUAACACAUGCAAGUCGAACGGUAACAGGAAGCAGCUUGCUGUUUCGCUGACGAGUGGCGGACGGGUGAGUAAUGUCUGGGAAACUGCCUGAUGGAGGGGGAUAACUACUGGAAACGGUAGCUAAUACCGCAUAACGUCGCAAGACCAAAGAGGGGGACCUUCGGGCCUCUUGCCAUCGGAUGUGCCCAGAUGGGAUUAGCUUGUUGGUGGGGUAACGGCUCACCAAGGCGACGAUCCCUAGCUGGUCUGAGAGGAUGACCAGCCACACUGGAACUGAGACACGGUCCAGACUCCUACGGGAGGCAGCAGUGGGGAAUAUUGCACAAUGGGCGCAAGCCUGAUGCAGCCAUGCCGCGUGUAUGAAGAAGGCCUUCGGGUUGUAAAGUACUUUCAGCGGGGAGGAAGGGAGUAAAGUUAAUACCUUUACUCAUUGACGUUACCCGCAGAAGAAGCACCGGC
Molecule: ribosomal RNA, 507 nt
Filed under: Shigella flexneri
Lineage: Bacteria; Pseudomonadati; Pseudomonadota; Gammaproteobacteria; Enterobacterales; Enterobacteriaceae
Description: bacterial SSU rRNA
Rfam family: Bacterial small subunit ribosomal RNA
Source: RNAcentral